This 253-nucleotide ribosomal RNA is filed under the name uncultured bacterium. RNAcentral's name for it is "partial 16S ribosomal RNA". It matches the Rfam family "Bacterial small subunit ribosomal RNA", at positions 524 to 776 of the family's 1533-position model. The record is from RNAcentral.
GACGAACCGUCCAAACGUUAUUCGGAAUCACUGGGCUUAAAGGGUGCGUAGGCGGCGCGGCAAGUUGGGUGUGAAAUCCCUCGGCUCAACCGAGGAACUGCGCCCAAAACUGCCGUGCUCGAGGGAGAUAGAGGUGAGCGGAACUUAGGGUGGAGCGGUGAAAUGCGUUGAUAUCCUAAGGAACACCGGUGGCGAAAGCGGCUCACUGGCCCGAUACUGACGCUGAGGCACGAAAGCGUGGGGAGCAAACAGG